GAUGAACGCUGGCGGCGUGCCUAAUACAUGCAAGUCGAGCGAACGGGCGAGAAGCUUGCUUCUCUGAUGUUAGCGGCGGACGGGUGAGUAACACGUGGAUAACCUACCUAUAAGACUGGGAUAACUUCGGGAAACCGGAGCUAAUACCGGAUAAUAUUUUGAACCGCAUGGUUCAAAAGUGAAAGACGGUCUUGCUGUCACUUAUAGAUGGAUCCGCGCUGCAUUAGCUAGUUGGUAAGGUAACGGCUUACCAAGGCAACGAUGCAUAGCCGACCUGAGAGGGUGAUCGGCCACACUGGAACUGAGACACGGUCCAGACUCCUACGGGAGGCAGCAGUAGGGAAUCUUCCACAAUGGGCGAAAGCCUGACGGAGCAACGCCGCGUGAGUGAUGAAGGUCUUCGGAUCGUAAAACUCUGUUAUUAGGGAAGAACAUAUGUGUAAGUAACUGUGCACAUCUUGACGGUACCUAAUCAGAAAGCCACGGCUAACUACGUG
Molecule: ribosomal RNA, 497 nt
Filed under: uncultured bacterium
Lineage: Bacteria
Description: partial 16S ribosomal RNA
Rfam family: Bacterial small subunit ribosomal RNA
Source: RNAcentral